UGGGGAAUAUUGGACAAUGGGCGAAAGCCUGAUCCAGCCAUGCCGCGUGUGUGAAGAAGGCCUUUUGGUUGUAAAGCACUUUAAGCGAGGAGGAGGCUACUAGUACUAAUACUACUGGAUAGUGGACGUUACUCGCAGAAUAAGCACCGGCUAACUCUGUGCCAGCAGCCGCGGUAAUACAGAGGGUGCAAGCGUUAAUCGGAAUUACUGGGCGUAAAGCGCGCGUAGGUGGUUCGUUAAGUUGAAUGUGAAAGCCCCGGGCUCAACCUGGGAACUGCAUCAAAAACUGGCGAGCUAGAGUAGGGCAGAGGGUGGUGGAAUUUCCUGUGUCGCGGUGAAAUGCGUAGAUAUAGGAAGGAACACCAGUGGCGAAGGCGACCACCUGGGCUCAUACUGACACUGAGGUGCGAAAGCGUGGGGAGCAAACAGG
This 430-nucleotide ribosomal RNA is filed under the name Pseudomonadota bacterium. RNAcentral's name for it is "Proteobacteria bacterium partial 16S ribosomal RNA". It matches the Rfam family "Bacterial small subunit ribosomal RNA", at positions 355 to 776 of the family's 1533-position model. The record is from RNAcentral. Lineage: Bacteria; Pseudomonadati; Pseudomonadota.